Molecule: microRNA precursor, 103 nt
Filed under: Marmota monax (woodchuck)
Lineage: Eukaryota; Metazoa; Chordata; Mammalia; Rodentia; Sciuridae
Source: RNAcentral
AGUGGGAUAGCUGGGUCCUAUAGUGAUUCAAAUCCUAGUUUUCUGAGGAAUCUCCAUCCUGCUUUCCAGAGUGGUUGCACUAAUUUGCAGUCCCAUCAGCAAU